Long non-coding RNA from Bubalus bubalis (water buffalo), 1880 nucleotides. RefSeq lists it as uncharacterized. The record is from RefSeq and is a predicted model, not a curated record. NCBI's taxonomy places the organism in Eukaryota, Metazoa, Chordata, Mammalia, Artiodactyla, Bovidae. The transcript has 2 exons.
GAUAUAUUUAUGGAUCGUGAGCCCUUCUGUGAAGAAGCACCAAGUACCAACUCUUUGUUGUCUAUGGCCUCUGGAGACAGUCAUCACUUGUUCGUGUUCUUUAUAGGAGAGUUGGGGUGUGGCACCUUCAUCCUCAUGGAAACAGCUCUGUUUAACAACAGUCUCCCUGGAUUUCUGAAAAUGGAACAAUUUAGCUCUCAAGCACUGGCAGGAGGGAGGCGACUCUGGGACACCCACAAGUCUCACAGAGUGUGGUUGUGAAGAUUAAGUCACGACUCAUGUGCAACCAAAGCCUGACACAGAGGAAUCACUGCUUUCUGGAUAGUUAUCCACAUUAAUAAGAAUAAGGGGAAGUGGGAGGGAGGAGAAAAAAGAAGUUGGUGAAAGUCGUUCAGUUGUGUCUGACUCUUUGCAACCCCAUGGACUAUAGCCCACCAGGCUCCUCUGUCCAUGGGAUUUCCCAGGGAAGAGUACUGGAGUGGGUUGCCAUUCCCAUCUCCAGGGAAUCCUCAGACAGAUUGUUCACCAGCCGAGUCACCAGAGAAACCCGAAGAAGCUGGCACUUGGAGGUAAUUGGGACCAUCUUCAGCAGGGAAGCUUCCAUGGAAGAAGGCUAGUGACCCCUUACCCUCAGGUAUCAGAACAUCACAAGGUGGCCUCCUCAUUCAGCUUCCAGGAACUGCUCUGGAAAUUCCCCAGAUGUCACAUACAGCAAGGCCAAGGACCACCUGAUGCAAAGAACUGACUCAUUAGAAAAGACCCUGAUGCUGGGAAAGACUGAAGGCAGGAGGAGAAGGGGACGACAGAGGAUGAGAUGGUUGGAUGGCCUCACCAGCUCGAUGGACAUGAGUUUGAGCAAGCUCUGGGAGCUGGUGAUGGACAGGGAGGCCUAGCGUGCUGCAGUCCAUAGGGUCGCAAGGAGUCAGACACUACUGAGGGACUGAACUGAAGGACCACAUCCCAAAGCUGAAUAGAAGUGAUCUCUGCAUUACUCUUCAUUACCCAAUUCACUGUUCUCGAGUUGAAUCUGAGCAGAUGUGCACAACCAGCUUUCUUUUCACCAAGGUAGACCCUGGGUGAUUAAAGGACGAUGACAAGGAUAAAAGCAGGGAGCUUUUCUCCCUGGGUGAAGUGUAGCUAAUAUGAACACCUGCUUCAUGGGAUUGUCGUGAGGAUGAAUUGAACUAAUCCAUGUAAAGUGAUUAGUCCAAGAAAUGUUUGCCAUGGCACUUAUUGUGCUUGUCAGACCCGAGGAAACCUAGUCUAAUGGUGUAGGUGUUUGGCAACUGUUUAGAAACAGUGAUUAAGUGUCUGACAAGCUUUUAUCCUCUAUGUAUUGUGAACUUGAGAGAUGCCAACACCCUCCCCCUCCGCCUCAACUUCCUCCUGCUUUUUUCUCACUGUAUUAAUUAGUAGAAAUAAAAUUCCCCAGGGGCUUCCCUGGUGGCUCAGUUGGUAAAGAAUCCACCUGCAAUGUAGGACACCUGAGUUUGAUCCCUGGGUCAGGAAGACCCCCUGGAGAAGGAAAUGGCAACACACUCCAGUAUUCUACCUGGGAAAUCCCAUGGACAAAGGAGGCUGGCAGACCCCCUGAUAGUCCAUGGGGUUGGAAGAGUCACACACAACUUAGCCACUAAACCGCCACCACCAAAAGUUCCCCAACCUAGAUCUAGAUCCAAGGAUUCAGGAGUAUUCAAUGGGACAUUCACAGAGUUGAACAUGAUCCACUACUGCCCACCCAUCCCCAGCCUAUCUUGCAAAACACCUUUGAAGACUGGUCUUCUGUUGAUCCAAGAUAAACUUUGAAAAAGGCUUUCCAGUGUACAAGACACAACUAUGCCCAGUUAUAUACAGCCACCAAUAAAUUUUAUUUGUUUUUA